GCCUGGCUGGCUCAGUCGAUAGAGCAUAAGACUCUUGAUCUCAGCGUCGUGGAUUCAAGCUUCACGUUGAGUA
This 73-nucleotide transfer RNA is filed under the name Canis lupus familiaris (dog). It matches the Rfam family "tRNA". Rfam says of the family: Transfer RNA (tRNA) molecules are approximately 80 nucleotides in length. The record is from Rfam by way of RNAcentral. RNAcentral also lists the same sequence under 1 other name. Lineage: Eukaryota; Metazoa; Chordata; Mammalia; Carnivora; Canidae.